This 78-nucleotide transfer RNA is filed under the name Escherichia coli. Its description in RNAcentral is "tRNA-Thr(tgt)". It matches the Rfam family "tRNA". Rfam says of the family: Transfer RNA (tRNA) molecules are approximately 80 nucleotides in length. Their secondary structure includes four short double-helical elements and three loops (D, anti-codon, and T loops). The record is from RNAcentral. Lineage: Bacteria; Pseudomonadati; Pseudomonadota; Gammaproteobacteria; Enterobacterales; Enterobacteriaceae.
UACUGGUUUAGCUCCAAUGGUAGAGCAGUCGCCUUGUAAGCGAAUGGGUAGCGGUUCAAGUCCGUUAACCAGCACCCA